AAAAAGAUUCGUUGAUAGUCGAGGCGGUCCGAUGACUCGAGCAAGGACAAAUCGAGUAAAAGAAGCGAUAAGAUUGCUCGUCAAGGUAACUAUUGAUGAAACCAUAAUUGGAACUCCAAAUGGGACAAGUUUCAUGUUGGGUCGAAGGCCCAAGAGACUUGGAUCAACGUGUUAAAGGCGGACGAAAACGAAGUGGAGAGCCAAAGCUGUGCGACCGCACAACACAAAUGG
This 231-nucleotide long non-coding RNA is filed under the name Olea europaea (common olive). RNAcentral's name for it is "long non-coding RNA (OEUR_LNC000359)". Lineage: Eukaryota; Viridiplantae; Streptophyta; Magnoliopsida; Lamiales; Oleaceae. The record is from RNAcentral.